This is a non-coding RNA of Triticum urartu, 1201 nucleotides long. The record is from RefSeq and is a predicted model, not a curated record. NCBI's taxonomy places the organism in Eukaryota, Viridiplantae, Streptophyta, Magnoliopsida, Poales, Poaceae.
AAAAGUUCCUUUUUUCCAACUAAUGCAUACAUAUUUGGCUCUGGUUUGUAGCUGAAUUUCACCUAACCCAGUUCAUACUUUCCUACUCAAUUCGCUGUAGCUAUUUUGUUUCAUUUCUUUAAUAUUUAUAUUAACUAUGUUUAUUGGCACAAGGGAUUUUGAAAAUGUGUCACUAAUUAGUCUUUUCGCAGCUGCUAAUGUGCUAACCAUAGCUAUCACAUAUAUCCUGAACUGCAAAGUGGAGAUGUACAAUUUGUUGAGUUCUGACUAUACACACUCAGUUGCUGUGAUAAAAUGAAGAAAUAAACAUGUUUCUUUUCGGGUUGUGGAAGUCAAUUAUUUAAAAAGGCUUUAGAAAAUCUCAUUGGCAGGAAGUUGUUUCAUAUUUUCUAGAGCCAUUGAAAACUUCUUGUUGGGGUCUCUGAUUGUGUCAAAAAGUUGUUAAGCUCAUAAAUGAAUGUAUGAUCAAAGGGGGGUCAUGCCUCCUGUAGUUUUUAGUGUUCACUUUCUCAUCUCAGUGCAGAAUUGUCUCCUUUGUUUAUGUAUCCAGUUUGAGUUUGUCUGCUAUUUUGCUGACCAGCUGUUCAAAGCUUCUCACUAUUUGCAUGUACUUGCUCAUCUGUAAAGAGGGUCUCGAUGGCCUAAAAUGCAGACUUCCCUACUCUUUUUGUGAUAUGUGAACCUGAAAUAAUUUAUUAUUUAUAUAGGACAAUAUGAUGUUCACAAUGAUGCACAUGCUUCAGAUUGACUAUAUAGAUCCUAUGAUUAAAGAGGGACAAGUUUACUAUAUGGAGCUAUACGAGGUAUGAGCUUGAGGCGCUCUUAGUGGCGCGCCGUUGUGGGAGGCGCAUGCACUGUGGUGGGCCGAGGUGUGUACUACGUGGGAGACGCGAGGAAAAUGCUCAAUUCCUAUUUUGAUUGAGACGUCCAGUGAGAAUCUAGCAUCGACAUAAUGAGAGAGGAAUUCAGCCCUGAAGAAAGCACUGUCAAAUGAACCGGCAUAUAUUUCAUCACUUGGUUCUUCUAUCUAUGAAGUAGUGUGAACCUGCAUUCCAAAUUUCUUCUACAUGAGGCAGAUAUGCUAUAUUGCUAUUUGAGAUGUGAUUCUCCUGUCCUCAGAAGCAUGUUCUUUAUCCUAAUUUUUUGUAUGCUCUCUGUUCUUCAGAGAUUAUACUUAAAACAGUCUUGAUUAGUGUUACGG